Molecule: long non-coding RNA, 1583 nt
Filed under: Daucus carota (carrot)
Lineage: Eukaryota; Viridiplantae; Streptophyta; Magnoliopsida; Apiales; Apiaceae
Description: long non-coding RNA (DCAR_LNC004015)
Source: RNAcentral
AAAGAUGUCAUUACAAGUUCCAAAUCCAAAAAUUACCAUACUACCAUACUAGUACAUCCUGGUCAUUAGCAUAACAUGGUGCAGACAUGAGAUGGCUUUUGAUAAAGUUUGUCAACCAUUACAAAAGAUGGCAAUUCUAGUCACAUUGUCAAACAAGUGUAAAAAUCACAAUAAAAACUACUAUUAAGUCUUUCUAGGUGGCUUGAAUCCUGGGAUGACCUUUUUCCUUGCAGUUGCUUUGGUAUGUUUCUUUGGAGCAGAUGUUGAAGCAUUGUCAUUUCCUUGAUCACCCAUUUGUCCUUGUUCUUCUGCUCUCCUAGUUGGUGUUGUUGAGGGAGGAGCUUUUCCUACCUUACAAGUUCUAGAAUUAUGCCCUUCCUUGUUGCAAUUCUUGCAAGUGACUUUAGUCUUCCCAACCUCUAUUUGUCUACCUUCUGCUUGUGCCUUUUUCACCUCAUCACUUUAUAGUAAAAUUAUCAGGGUCUGUCAAAUACCACAAAUAAGUACAUUUUUAAUUAACCAUAUUUUUACCCAUAAAAUUAAAGCUUAUAAUAUGCACGUAAUCAACUAUAUGAAGCUCAAGAAACCCUAAAAACUAUAGACAACCUCUAUCACUGUCAAAAACCCUAAAUAUUAUACCAAACAACAAUAUCAGUUAUGAAAAUUACUCGAUCAUACUUGAGCAGACAGAUAUGAAAUACAACAAUAACAUCGAUAACAAUCAAACCCCCAAAAAUUUAUACAUAAUUUCCAAUCAUUUUUCUACAUGCAGUUGGAGAGUUCGAGUUUAGUACCUAUAUAAGCGGGCGCUUCAAGUGGCUGGUAAAUAUUGUGAUCUUCCUUCAGUCUCUUGUACCAACUCAUCUUCAAUGAUCUUCGAUAGCUGUGAAUGAUUGCGGUGUGUGGCGUUGGGAGGAAGAUGAAAUGAAAGUGGAGGGAAGUGUAAUAACAACUAAAGUAAUAGAAAUAUUAAACGGCGUUAGUCGUGAACUAACGGGACUCAAGCAUAGCCACUCAUCUGUGUCAAUAUAAAACAAUUAGUCAUUCAUGUGGCUAAUAUAAUAAUUUAACCAACAUUGUGCAAUUAUAAAAUAUUUUAGACACACAUUUUGCAAUUAAGUCAAUGUUUUAUGUGUUUAUUCUAUGAGUAACUUGUUAUAAUAUUUAGAGAAAUGAGGAUUCUUAUCAUUCAGUAUUUGCUCUUAAUAUCAACUAAACAUGAACAUAAUAUUGGCUCUUAAUAUCGAUUAAAAAUUAAAAUACUUGCGUAAAAUUUGUCGAAUUUAUAAGAAAUGGUGUUUGAGUGAGAAAUUGUGUUUGAGUGAGAUUGGUUGUAUUGGCUGAUUUUAUUUAAAAAGUGUUUUUUAUAUUUUAAAUGUUUAUAAAUAAAAUAUACUGUUGUAAUAUGAUAAUAUAUAAUUGAUAAUGUUCAAUUUUGCUACCUCGUAGAGAUUUACCAAUGUUCAAUUUGAAUGAUAUGCUUCGGAAGAGCAUGAUACAAAUUAAGCUUUAUACAUAGUAUUGAUGGCCACUUAUCUGUCUUUCAAAUUUGAACAAACUUCAUUGUUAUAUGGAGAGAAUUA